This 1732-nucleotide ribosomal RNA is filed under the name Parapusillimonas granuli. RNAcentral describes it as "partial 23S ribosomal RNA". It matches the Rfam family "Bacterial large subunit ribosomal RNA", at positions 1218 to 2925 of the family's 2925-position model. Lineage: Bacteria; Pseudomonadati; Pseudomonadota; Betaproteobacteria; Burkholderiales; Alcaligenaceae. The record is from RNAcentral.
GAUAUACGCGGUAGGAGAGCGUUCUGUAAGCCUGCGAAGGCAGAUUGAGAAGUCUGCUGGAGGUAUCAGAAGUGCGAAUGCUGACAUGAGUAGCGAUAAAGGGGGUGAAAAGCCCCCUCGCCGUAAGUCCAAGGUUUCCUGCGCAACGUUCAUCGGCGCAGGGUGAGUCGGCCCCUAAGGCGAGGCAGAGAUGCGUAGCUGAUGGGAAGCUGGUUAAUAUUCCAGCACCGUCGUAGGAUGCGAUGGGGGGACGGAUUGCGAAAGGUCAUCGGGGUGUUGGAAGUCCCCGUUGCUGCAUCGAAGAAGGCGCUUUAGGCAAAUCCGGGCGCGUAAUUCAAGGGUGUGGCUGAAUAGAGCUUAGGCUCUAGACUGAUCGGCAGCAGUUCCAAGAAAAGCCUCUAAGCUUCAGUCCUACGAGACCGUACCGCAAACCGACACAGGUGGACGGGAUGAAUAUUCCAAGGCGCUUGAGAGAACUCAGGAGAAGGAACUCGGCAAAUUGAUACCGUAACUUCGGGAGAAGGUAUACCCUGCGUAGUGUGAUGGGCCCGCGCCCUGAGCAUGAAGGGGUCGCAGAGAAUCGGUGGCUGCGACUGUUUAUUAAAAACACAGCACUCUGCCAAGACGAAAGUCGACGUAUAGGGUGUGACGCCUGCCCGGUGCCGGAAGGUUAAGUGAUGGGGUGCAAGCUCUUGAUCGAAGCCCCGGUAAACGGCGGCCGUAACUAUAACGGUCCUAAGGUAGCGAAAUUCCUUGUCGGGUAAGUUCCGACCUGCACGAAUGGCGUAACGAUGGCCACACUGUCUCCUCCUGAGACUCAGCGAAGUUGAAGUGUUUGUGAUGAUGCAAUCUACCCGCGGCUAGACGGAAAGACCCCAUGAACCUUUACUGUAGCUUUGCAUUGGAUUGUGAACCGGCCUGUGUAGGAUAGGUGGGAGGCGUAGAACCCGAGUCGCCAGAUUCGGGGGAGCCGACCUUGAAAUACCACCCUGGUUUGUUUGCGGUUCUAACCUUGGCCCGUUAUCCGGGUUGGGGACAGUGCAUGGUGGGCAGUUUGACUGGGGCGGUCUCCUCCUAAAGUGUAACGGAGGAGUUCGAAGGUACGCUAGAGACGGUCGGAAAUCGUCUUGAUAGUGCAAUGGCAUAAGCGUGCUUGACUGUGAGACUGACAAGUCGAACAGGUGCGAAAGCAGGACAUAGUGAUCCGGUGGUUCUGAAUGGAAGGGCCAUCGCUCAACGGAUAAAAGGUACUCUGGGGAUAACAGGCUGAUACCGCCCAAGAGUUCAUAUCGACGGCGGUGUUUGGCACCUCGAUGUCGGCUCAUCUCAUCCUGGGGCUGUAGCCGGUCCCAAGGGUAUGGCUGUUCGCCAUUUAAAGAGGUACGUGAGCUGGGUUUAAAACGUCGUGAGACAGUUUGGUCCCUAUCUGCCGUGGGCGUUGGAUACUUGACGGAGCCUGCUCCUAGUACGAGAGGACCGGAGUGGACGUACCGCUGGUGUAUCGGUUGUCAUGCCAAUGGCAUUGCCGAGUAGCUACGUACGGAAGAGAUAACCGCUGAAGGCAUCUAAGCGGGAAACUCGUCUGAAGAUUAGGUAUCCCGGGGGCUAGACCCCCCUGAAGGGUCGUUCGAGACCAGGACGUUGAUAGGCUGGGUGUGUAAGCGCAGUAAUGCGCGCAGCUAACCAGUACUAAUUGCCCGUGCGGCUUGAUCCUAUAACCUUGCAGGUUGUG